Molecule: long non-coding RNA, 1462 nt
Filed under: Mus musculus (house mouse)
Lineage: Eukaryota; Metazoa; Chordata; Mammalia; Rodentia; Muridae
Description: long non-coding RNA chr4:148953418-148954880
Source: RNAcentral
GACCCGAGUGCAAUUGCUCCUGUGGAAUUGUUGUGCAUUUACUUUCAAGGCCUCGGUUUGAGGCGUUGUCCUCACACUAGCACUGAUGGGGGCUGCGGGAUUCCAACUUUUAACUUGAAUUUUGUAGAGACAAGGAAAAAAAAAAAGACUAUUCUCUUGAUACAAGUUUGUAGCUAAUUUAACAUUUGAGGGUUUUUCUGUUGGUUAUGCGUGUGGCUUUAUAGGGCUUUUUUUUCUCUUUCUCUCUCUCUCUCGUUCCAGUUUUGUUUUAUUAUUUUAUUUGGGAUGCUUUCGUGCAGGUGCAGCCCACCCAGAUCUGGUUCCUUUUCCAAAAUACCCCUUUCCCGGAGGCAAUGAGGCCACUUAGACUCUGCACAGGGCUCACCUGCAGGCACUUACUUGGCCAGAGGCUGCUCCAGAUUCUGGUAGGGGCAGGCUGUCUGAGGCCGGCCUUGUGGGGUAAACCUGUGCACUCCAGGUUCUGGCUAGUGCCAGGCUGGAAGAAACCAGGCCAAUUCGGCAAGUAAUGGAAGGGCCGGGAGUUGCCAGCAGGAAGCCCCGCCCAUAGGUCUUUAAAUGGGGUCUGCCCAAAUGGGGCAGUGGUUUUCUUUAUCUGUAUCAGAGUGUAUGUAUGUGUGUGAGAGUGUGUAUCUGUGUAUGUGUGUGUGUGUGUCCCCUCUUGGCUGCCCACAGCCAGAAAGCCAGGACCAUCUAAACUGGAGAGGGAGCAGGGAGGGUACAGCUGAGAGAUGAGGGUACCCAACAGGCAACGCGCUGAUUGCUAACCGGCCCUGCCAGAGCCUCCAUGCUGCUGAGAGUUCGUUCGCCCAGAUUCUAACCUACCACAGGACUCUGCCUCUGUGGAAGGAGUUUUGUAAAGGAAAAGAAAAACAAAACACAACAAAACAAAAUAAAAAAAAAUUUCAAUGUAGCAAAAUCAAAUAAAAAAUUAUAAAAGGAAAAAAAAAAGCCGCGGAGAGUGCGCAGUCUAGCCUUUUGUAAGCCUCAUAUUGCACAUUAGGACUAUAAGCCAUUGCUAGCUCAUCUUGAAUUUUAAUGUGUAAUUUUUGUUUUAUUUUCUUUCUGUGAGGAAAACGAUGCCUGACCCACCAAUGCUCUUUUUAAUGUUUUAUAACUAUGUAUGUGUAUAUAUAUAAAUAUAAAAGUAAUAUGUAUGCACAUAUGUGUGUAUAUAUCUAUAUGUAUAUACAUAUAUAGAUAUAUAGAGAUAUAUAGAGAGGUUUUGAGACAAAAAAAAAAAAAAAUGCAGACCAUGAAACCGACCUGAACAGCGCGCGCUCUGAUUACUUGAAUCUGGUCUCCUCGGCACCUGGUUAUUAAGAACUGAAUAUUUUUCCACUUGAAUUUAGUGCUAUUAGAAAUUUAAUAUAUGUGUUUUAUUUAUUUGAUUUUUUUUUGCAUGACUGAUGCAAGGUUUGACAUUUUCACUCAAUAAAAACUG